This 265-nucleotide ribosomal RNA is filed under the name uncultured bacterium. RNAcentral describes it as "partial 16S ribosomal RNA". It matches the Rfam family "Bacterial small subunit ribosomal RNA", at positions 90 to 353 of the family's 1533-position model. The record is from RNAcentral.
CGUUAGUGGCGGACGGGUGAGUAACGCGUGGGUAACCUGCCUCACACUGGGGGAUAACAGUUAGAAAUAGCUGCUAAUACCGCAUAAGCGCACAGUUCCGCAUGGAACAGUGUGAAAAACUCCGGUGGUACAAGAUGGACCCGCGUCUGAUUAGCUGGUUGGUGAGGUAACGGCCCACCAAGGCGACGAUCAGUAGCCGGCCUGAGAGGGUGAACGGCCACAUUGGGACUGAGACACGGCCCAAACUCCUACGGGAGGCAGCAUG